UCCGGCGGACGCUUCUCCACUUCCAUCCAUUUCGAUUUCAGGUUUGUUUUCACCGGACCUCUCCAUUUCUUAUCCACUCCUCUACAUUGGCAGUGCCGUAUCCAUCAUCUUUGAAGUCAAGUCUCAGUAUGGCUUCGACAUCAACUAACGGUCCCAUGUACAAGAUUGACCCUGCUCAUCAUUUUCAGUCUAUAGUAAGUAGUUUAGCACAUUUAGAAAACAGUACACGUACAAUAAAUUUAUGACCUCCUCUUUAUCUAAAUCUUUAACAUGGAAUUGGUAACAAUCAAUUGGGUUGACUUUCAUUGUCAAA
Cucumis sativus (cucumber) is the source of this 313-nucleotide long non-coding RNA. RefSeq lists it as uncharacterized. The record is from RefSeq and is a predicted model, not a curated record. The transcript is spliced from 2 exons. Lineage: Eukaryota; Viridiplantae; Streptophyta; Magnoliopsida; Cucurbitales; Cucurbitaceae.